This 432-nucleotide ribosomal RNA is filed under the name uncultured bacterium. RNAcentral's name for it is "bacterial SSU rRNA". It matches the Rfam family "Bacterial small subunit ribosomal RNA", at positions 29 to 507 of the family's 1533-position model. The record is from RNAcentral.
AACGAACGCUGGCGGCAGGCCUAACACAUGCAAGUCGAGCGAUCCUUUCGGGGAUAGCGGCGGACGGGUGAGUAACGCGUGGGAACGUACCCUUUGCUACGGAAUAGCCUCGGGAAACUGGGAGUAAUACCGUAUGUGCCCUUGGGGGAAAGAUUUAUCGGCAAAGGAUCGGCCCGCGUUGGAUUAGGUAGUUGGUGGGGUAAUGGCCUACCAAGCCGACGAUCCAUAGCUGGUUUGAGAGGAUGAUCAGCCACACUGGGACUGAGACACGGCCCAGACUCCUACGGGAGGCAGCAGUGGGGAAUCUUAGACAAUGGGGGCAACCCUGAUCUAGCCAUGCCGCGUGAGUGAUGAAGGCCCUAGGGUUGUAAAGCUCUUUCAGCUGGGAAGAUAAUGACGGUACCAGCAGAAGAAGCCCCGGNUAACUCCGUG